UGUAUGUACUUUAGUAUUCCAAAGGUUUUAGCUUAUUCUUAUUGUGUUGUCUGGUUAAUUUUUAAAAUAAGCAUGACUGAAGUAAGGAUUAUAGUUUGAUUAAGGCCCAUCUGGACAAUUGGACUACUGAGAUGGAUGACUUUGAUGCUGUAGGCAGACUUCAGGAGCAAACAAGGACACCGAAUGUUCCUGAACAUCCUAUACAAGUGGAUAGACGAUAUCCUAUGUGGCGCCAUCUAGUGGUAAAGAAGAGCAUGGCAUUACAAGGUGCAGCGAGCACAACCUGACGAAUGUCAGGAUAAAAAUUGGUAAUUAUCGAAAAUGAAAACUGGAGAAACAGGUUAAAAUAACAGAAAACUGGACUAUUGUUCACUGGAAACU
This is a long non-coding RNA of Triplophysa dalaica, 381 nucleotides long. RefSeq lists it as uncharacterized. The record is from RefSeq and is a predicted model, not a curated record. Lineage: Eukaryota; Metazoa; Chordata; Actinopteri; Cypriniformes; Nemacheilidae. The transcript is spliced from 3 exons.